Tarenaya hassleriana is the source of this 1245-nucleotide long non-coding RNA. RefSeq lists it as uncharacterized. The transcript has 4 exons. The record is from RefSeq and is a predicted model, not a curated record. Lineage: Eukaryota; Viridiplantae; Streptophyta; Magnoliopsida; Brassicales; Cleomaceae.
UAUUCGGAGGCAAGAUAUACAAAAACAUACCGAUGGUUUUCUUGCAAGUUAUGUAGCUGUUGCCUCAGAAUUGCUGCUUCCCUCUGCCAGAACUAGAAUAUAGAACAAAUUAAGUUCAGGUGGUUUACUAGAGCAUAAUAUAGGAAACUGAGGAUGAUCCUUCCAUAUCUAAGUUGGUGAAAAAAAAAGAUCGAUGAGCUUUCUACAUUUCCUGUUAUUGUUGAAAACCCAAGUAGCAAUUGCUGCGUUAGUAGAAAUAAUAGUAUGCUUCAGUUGCUUGACCUCAUCUCUGUUAUGGCAGGUGUUUGCUUCAACAAUAUUGUGUGAGUAAAUUAGGUCAGCAACAGGAUCAUUUCAUUUGACCUUCCCCUCAUUUUAUUGCAAAUAAUUAGUCAAAUUAGAUCAUCUGAAGCAAUUACCUUGAUUUCGGAUACUGUGUCGCUUUCGCUAUCCCCUUUUGUGUCACCGUAUCGCUCGAUUAUCGAUUUCAUGCUGCAAGUGAAGAUUUUAACACAUGAGAACGUUAUCUUUCCCAUUAAUCAGCUCAAAUCAGUUGUUGCAGGGUCGGUAACCAAGCUACAAGACGGGUCAAAACACAGGUAGGUACAGCUACCCACCAACUAGUUGCCAAUAAAAAUAUAAAUAAGGGAAAAAAUAUUAAGAGGGAGUGAAUGGUAAACACCGCACACAGACUAUCCAGAUUUUUUGGUGUUACAAUUUCAGUUUUUAUCCCUUCAAAUUUUUAAGUUGGAGUAUCGAAUCCAGAUCUCGUGAGGGUCAAAUAUCAAACUCGGUUAUCAGUUAGGCGUGGCGAAAGUUCGGGUGCUCAUAUCGCCCGAUAGAAGGGCGAGUCGAGCUGAACUGAACUCCGAUAAGACUGAGGAAAGAGGGGGUGAAAGCACUGAGAGGACUUCGGGUUUACAUAUCCCCCACACCUACCUAAGAGCGCAAAGCAGAGGGAAAGCCUAAAUUUGCAAGUUGAUAUCUAUCCAGUUCUCUAUAACCACUUCCUUGUCCUAUCUUUUCUCUUUUCAUCAUUUCCUAAAAGCUCUUGAUCCAUUUUGGAUCAGUGACUACACAGUUUGUUUCUUUUUAGGAUAUGGAUCGGUGUUAACAGGUUAGAUUAGUGGUACCUCGCAUAGUCACUGAUUCAACACCCAAAUCUCUAAUUUUCUCCCAAGUUUGGGCUUUAGAUGUACCAUAUGUUGACACAUCUAUCAAUCUAGCAAGAAAUUUGAUGAAUUA